GUCACCCUUCCGGAAGCAUCCCCCACAGGCUCCCCCAGUGCCUUGCUCGGAUGCCACGGACACAGCCCAAGAAUACUCACUGAUGAUGGCAGUAAACCCUAGACGAUGGAGAGAGGGGAAACAAUGACCAAUGUGGAGACGAUGCCGGAUUUCAUUCAUUCAGUCAAGGAAUGUUUGUCAGGCACCUGCCAUGUGCCUAGUACAGACCUAAGCUCGGGGAUCUCACCAGCCAGAUGGGUUAAGGGGCAUGAAGAGACUUGGAAUUGCACUGAUAGGAAAACGAAGCAAUUGUUCACCGAGUCCUCGGGCCUGGUGAAAGAGACCCAAGCAGCAACGCUCUCGCAGCACCAUGGAAACCAGGCCUGCCGCUGGGCAUGUUGGGAAGCAGCAAGACCUUUCUCCUGAAUGCUAGGACAACCUCGUGAG
This is a long non-coding RNA of Camelus dromedarius (Arabian camel), 426 nucleotides long. RefSeq lists it as uncharacterized. Lineage: Eukaryota; Metazoa; Chordata; Mammalia; Artiodactyla; Camelidae. The transcript is spliced from 3 exons. The record is from RefSeq and is a predicted model, not a curated record.